UUUUUUAACUGAAACUAUAGGAGAACAGACAAUUUAUGGAACUGUCAGGAGAUAGUUAACGGUACAAAUUUUUAUUGAUAUAUGGCCAAAAUCAAAGAAGGGUGUUGGUAACCAACAAGUCAGAGGAGACCUCAAAACAGGAGCUGCUUAGGGUGGUGUGCACAACAUUUGGAGUGAAAGAAGAAGAUAUUUUUCCUGCAGACAUGGCAAGACAAAUUCUACGAUUUUGCAGACAUGGAAGAGGACGAACUUGUGACAGGGCCAUUGAGAGUAAAAAUUACAAACUACCUGUGGUCCUCGGUGCACAGCAACUGGUGAAUGGUGGAGAGCACAUAGAGUGGAUGAGCACUGAACAAAAGGCAGCCAGACUUCAAGAGAGUUGAGUUCUGCAUGCAGAAGACACUGGCAGACAGAAGGGCAUGGAUCAUAAAUUCUGUCCCUCGGCCAAGGAUCACUGAUGACCGACUGAAGUAUCCUUGGCUCUUUGAUGAGGAUCAGGUAAUCUAUGCAGAGUUUUCUCACCAGAUUUUGAAAUAUACUGAAUAUCCCGAGAUUGAUUGAAUGCUGACGGACGUUGAUAGAGUUGCUUACUCAAUGUUUCCCUAUUACAGUGAUUUACAGAAUGUAUUGGAAACUUCUAACUCCACAUGGAUUAUCCAAACUUGCUCAUAAACUUAAUUUAUUCAAGACUGCGUAAGGUGUGAACUUCAUAUGUGGUCCUUGUAUGUAAAAUUCAGGUUAUUUUCUUGUCAAAGCAAUAUCACCUAAACAGCUUGAGGUAUGGAUGUAAAAACUUGGUGUUUAACAUGUACCAUCAUUAGGAAGACGAUUUGAAUGGAUUUUGGAAUAUGUAGGUCAAAGGUCAAUUUGUGAAAUUUAUUUGUUUAAACACAUGGGCCCGUAUUCUGAUAGCAGGUUUAAUUUAACCCUAGUCUAAAGUUAACCCUAGUUUAAUUAAACCUCCUCUAAACCUCACCUCUGGUCAAAGUGUAGUUUAAUUAUUUUGGUAUUCUGAUAGCCGGGUUUAACUAAACCUGGGUUAAACCCGGGUUUAAAAUUCUUUUUGAAAAUAAUAACCCUCUUUUAACCAAGACUAGCACCUUUUUGGUAAAUUACUGCUGCAGGGGUGAUUGCAACAAAGUUGAAAAAAUGGCACUAAAGUCGUUUUUUCUUUAAAAAAUUGAUAUUAUGGAAACUAAUAACAACUAUUGUAGUGAAAGAAAAGCAUUCAUCACCCAUAUAUGGUAAGAAAUUUUCAUUUCAAUUAUAUUUAUUUUUGUUAAUUACUAAAACAUUUCAACCCCAAACCGAGUGACCUGCACAGUUUUUUGAGUAUCAGUCCCAUUUAUUUAUUUUCAUGUUUGUCAAAAUCUAAAUUGAAUAGAUUCCCCUCAACCACUCUAGACUAGAGUCUAGACCCUAGUCCUAGAUCUAAAACAAUAAGCUAAGAGGUCGACGUCUUUAUUCUAACUUUAAGUAAGGGAAUUUUUUAUAACUUUUGAGAGUAGUCUUGGGUCUAAAUAGGCCUAUAGUUAGAUCUGGCCUAGGCCCAAUUGUUUGGAGGAGAAUUGAACAUAGUUUUUACUAACUAAGUUAGGCCUAGGCCUAUUUGAUUUUUUUUUUACU
Molecule: long non-coding RNA, 1626 nt
Organism: Lytechinus pictus (painted urchin)
Lineage: Eukaryota; Metazoa; Echinodermata; Echinoidea; Temnopleuroida; Toxopneustidae
Exons: 3
Source: RefSeq, a predicted model, not a curated record